RNAcentral lists this ribosomal RNA (253 nucleotides) under uncultured bacterium. RNAcentral's name for it is "partial 16S ribosomal RNA". It matches the Rfam family "Bacterial small subunit ribosomal RNA", at positions 524 to 776 of the family's 1533-position model. The record is from RNAcentral.
UACAGAGGGUGCAAGCGUUGUUCGGAAUUACUGGGCGUAAAGGGCGCGUAGGCGGCUCAUGAAGGCUGUGGUGAAAGUCCGGGGCUCAACCUCGGAUCGGCCGUGGCGACUCGUGGGCUGGAGCACUGUAGAGGCGGGUGGAAUUCCGGGUGUAGCGGUGGAAUGCGUAGAGAUCCGGAAGAACACCAGUGGCGAAGGCGGCCCGCUGGGCAGUGGCUGACGCUGAGGCGCGAAAGCGUGGGGAGCGAACCGG